GAAAUGCGAUACGUAAUGCGAAUUGCAGAAUUCAGUGAAUCAUCAAAUCUUUGAACGCAAAUUGCACUCUCGGGUAUCCCCGGGAGUACGCUUCUUUCAGUAUCGGUUCUAUCCAAUCUCGUCUGCGUACUUAUUUAUAAGUGCUGGACGGAAACUGAGCGCCACACAUCCGAACAGAAGUGUGAUGCUUGAAAGAUAGAAGAAGGCUGUGCCUUAUCCGUUCCUACGCUCCUGGUUACGACCUGAGUGACGUGGUUAAGCUCGCCUCUGGCGAUCUCCACCGUCAAACAAUCUUAGGUUGUGACCUGUAGGUCAAUUGGAGAAGUGCGCUUUCAUUCUUUUGGAUUAAUACCCAAAAAAAAAAAUCAGAUCUGAAAUGAAGUGAGAGUACCCGCUGAAC
Molecule: unclassified non-coding RNA, 400 nt
Filed under: uncultured fungus
Lineage: Eukaryota; Fungi
Description: sequence contains ITS1
Rfam family: 5.8S ribosomal RNA (bases 1-105)
Source: RNAcentral